RNAcentral lists this ribosomal RNA (497 nucleotides) under uncultured bacterium. Its description in RNAcentral is "partial 16S ribosomal RNA". It matches the Rfam family "Bacterial small subunit ribosomal RNA", at positions 28 to 507 of the family's 1533-position model. The record is from RNAcentral.
GAUGAACGCUGGCGGCGUGCCUAAUACAUGCAAGUCGAGCGAACGGACGAGAAGCUUGCUUUUCUGAUGUUAGCGGCGGACGGGUGAGUAACACGUGGAUAACCUACCUAUAAGACUGGGAUAACUUCGGGAAACCGGAGCUAAUACCGGAUAAUAUUUUGAACCGCAUGGUUCAAAAGUGAAAGACGGUCUUGCUGUCACUUAUAGAUGGAUCCGCGCUGCAUUAGCUAGUUGGUAAGGUAACGGCUUACCAAGGCAACGAUGCAUAGCCGACCUGAGAGGCUGAUCGGCCACACUGGAACUGUGACACGGUCCAUACUCCUACGGGAGGCAGCAGUAGGGAAUCUUCCGCAAUGGGCGAAAGCCUUACGGAGCAACGCCGCGUGAGUGAUGAAGUUCUUCGGAUCGUAAAACUCUGUUAUUAGGGAAGAACAUAUGUGUAAGUAACUGUGCACAUCUUGACGGUACCUAAUCAGAAAGCUACGGCUAACUACGUG